This 59-nucleotide transfer RNA is filed under the name Longicollum sp. (in: thorny-headed worms). RNAcentral describes it as "tRNA-Met". The record is from RNAcentral. Lineage: Eukaryota; Metazoa; Acanthocephala; Palaeacanthocephala; Echinorhynchida; Pomphorhynchidae.
UAAUUAGGCAUGCGUGGUAGCUUGUAAUGUACUAUGACUAUUCCUUGUAACCUGGUGGU